AUGGACUGCAGCUGGAGAACCCUCCUCCUGGUGGCCAUGGCAACAGGUGUCCACUCCCAGGUGCAGCUGGUGCAGUCUGGGGCUGAGGUGAGGCAGCCUGGGGCCUCCGUGAAGGUCUCCUGCAAGGCUUCUGGAUACACCUUCACCAGCUACUACAUGCACUGGGUGCGACAGGCCCCAGGACAGGGGCUUGAGUGGAUGGGGUGGGUUUACCCUGGAAAUGGAAACACAAAAUACGCACAGAAAUUCCAAGGCAGAGUCUCCAUGACCGCAGACAAGUCCACGAGCACAGCCUACAUGGAGCUCAGCAGCCUGAGAGCCGAGGACACAGCUGUGUAUUACUGUGCAAGAGACACAGUGAGGGGAAGUCCCUGA
Non-coding RNA from Eptesicus fuscus (big brown bat), 375 nucleotides. Lineage: Eukaryota; Metazoa; Chordata; Mammalia; Chiroptera; Vespertilionidae. The record is from the annotation of a RefSeq genome assembly.